CAUACACACAGAUGCCACGUACCUCCACACACAUACGCACAGAUGUCACGUACCUAGACACACAUACACACACAUAUGUCACGUAUUUAGACACAUACACACACAUGUGACACGUAUCUAGACACACAUACAGAUGCCACGUACCUACACACACGUCACGUACCGAUACACACACAUGUCACGUACGUAGACACACGGGCAUUAACUGCUUGCUCCAGUUACCAUAUUACACUACUAUAGUCUGACGCAUAUAUUUAUACCCAAAAUAUAAACGAUGUAAUUUGUCUUCGCUUUUGACGUGUACUUAAGAUACGUAACUGAUGAUAGGCCUUGAGGUAUCAAGUGUUUAGUGUGGGGACACUGCGGCUGUAAAUAUGUGUCACAGAGUUAUUGUCUUCACACUUACCAUGCCUAAUGUUCGGCGAGAAUGAUCUUUAGCAAGGAGAGAGUGAGUAUUGCAUGAUACAUGUUAUAACGAGAUACAUAUUAUAACGAAAAGUAAGUUCAACGAAACACAUUGCCAACAAGUUGCAUAAUAACCGCUGUGUUUGGCCCGUGUCUGGACACACGCAGUCCGGGAAGGGACUCAGGCGCAGUUGUUAACUCGUCAAAAUGACAGCGUACGAACAGAUUUUAUGAAUGAUUUUAUAAGUAUACUCAGGAAAGUGUAAUAAUUCUUGGAACACAAAGGUACUAGUAUAUAAUGUUAUGUAUACUGAACACAGCUGAUAUUGCCUCCUACUUGGUGCUAUUGUUCCUGUUGCUCUCUUGGUGUAGUGACGCAUGAUGUCUGUAUCUGUUGUAUAUAGCCCGUGAUACAUCUGGGAUGAUCUCAGCAACAGCAGCCAAGGGAACUAGGAACGUCUUUUUUUUAUAAAUUCCUAUUGUUUUAUCAAUUAUAUAUCUAUAAAUCGUUUCGCUAUUUAUAUGUUUAUUUUGGUGAAUGACAUUUAUUCAAAUGGUAUUGGGCGUGGUUGCCGGGGCAGUAAUAUUGCCUUGUCAGAAUACCGUGUGGGGAUAGUGUGUCUCCCUCAGGACAGAUUCUGCUUUGACCAGACACCCAUCACAAGAUCUGCCUUGACCAGACACCCAUCACAAGAUCUUGCCCAGCCUGUACCGCACAGGCAGCAUUACUUCCGGUCAACUUGCAUCUGUAUAUCGUGAACAGAAUAUAUUGUCUUGUUUGGAUUUGACUGUAAUGUCUAUAUGGCAACUGUAUAUAACAGAGUGAAGUUAUUGUCAAUAAACUCUUCGUUAUUCUUA
This is a long non-coding RNA of Haliotis rubra (blacklip abalone), 1263 nucleotides long. RefSeq lists it as uncharacterized. The transcript is spliced from 2 exons. The record is from RefSeq and is a predicted model, not a curated record. Lineage: Eukaryota; Metazoa; Mollusca; Gastropoda; Lepetellida; Haliotidae.